GAUGAACGCUAGCGGGAGGCUUAACACAUGCAAGUCGAGGGGCAGCAUAGGGUAGCAAUACUCUGAUGGCGACCGGCAAACGGGUGAGUAACGCGUAUGCAACCUACCCUGUACAGGGGGAUAACCCGGAGAAAUUCGGACUAAUAUCCCGUAAUAAUAUCCGGAGGCAUCUUUGGAUAUUUAAAGUUCCGACGGUACGGGAUGGGCAUGCGUAACAUUAACUGGUUGGUAAGGUAACGGCUUACCAAGGCUAUGAUGUUUAGGGGUCCUGAGAGGGUGGUCCCCCACACUGGUACUGAGACACGGACCAGACUCCUACGGGAGGCAGCAGUGAGGAAUAUUGGUCAAUGGGCGCAAGCCUGAACCAGCCAUCCCCGCGUGCAGGAAGACGGCCCUAUGGGUUGUAAACUGCUUUUCCAGGGAGAGAAACUUACGCACGUGUUGCGUGACUGGACGGUACCCUGGGAAUAAGCAUCCGGCUAACUCCCGUGCCCAGCAGCCGCGGUAAGGUUGUGUGUA
RNAcentral lists this ribosomal RNA (519 nucleotides) under uncultured bacterium. Its description in RNAcentral is "bacterial SSU rRNA". It matches the Rfam family "Bacterial small subunit ribosomal RNA", at positions 28 to 536 of the family's 1533-position model. The record is from RNAcentral.